CCUACGGGAGGCAGCAGUGGGGAAUAUUGCACAAUGGGGGAAACCCUGAUGCAGCGACGCCGCGUGAGUGAAGAAGUAUUUCGGUAUGUAAAGCUCUAUCAGCAGGGAAGAAAAUGACGGUACCUGAGUAAGAAGCCCCGGCUAACUACGUGCCAGCAGCCGCGGUAAUACGUAGGGGGCAAGCGUUAUCCGGAUUUACUGGGUGUAAAGGGAGCGUAGACGGCAGCGCAAGUCUGGAGUGAAAUGCGGGGGCUUAACCCCCGAACUGCUUUGGAAACUGUACGGCUGGAGUGCAGGAGAGGUAAGUGGAAUUCCUAGUGUAGCGGUGAAAUGCGUAGAUAUUAGGAGGAACACCAGUGGCGAAGGCGGCUUACUGGACUGUAACUGACGUUGAGGCUCGAAAGCGUGGGGAGCAAACAGGAUUAGAUACCCGUGUAGUC
RNAcentral lists this ribosomal RNA (440 nucleotides) under uncultured bacterium. RNAcentral's name for it is "partial 16S ribosomal RNA". It matches the Rfam family "Bacterial small subunit ribosomal RNA", at positions 338 to 795 of the family's 1533-position model. The record is from RNAcentral.